AUUGAACGCUGGCGGCAGGCCUAACACAUGCAAGUCGAACGGUAACAGGAAGAAGCUUGCUUCUUUGCUGACGAGUGGCGGAAGGGUGAGUAAUGUCUGGGAAACUGCCUGAUGGAGGGGGAUAACUACUGGAAACGGUAGCUAAUACCGCAUAACGUCGCAAGACCAAAGAGGGGGACCUUCGGGCCUCUUGCCAUCGGAUGUGCCCAGAUGGGAUUAGCUAGUAGGUGGGGUAACGGCUCACCUAGGCGACGAUCCCUAGCUGGUCUGAGAGGAUGACCAGCCACACUGGAACUGAGACACGGUCCAGACGCCUACGGGAGGCAGCAGUGGGGAAUAUUGCACAAUGGGCGCAAGCCUGAUGCAGCCAUGCCGCGUGUAUGAAGAAGGCCUUCGGGUUGUAAAGUACUUUCAGCGGGGAGGAAGGGAGUAAAGUUAAUACCUUGACUCAUUGACGUUACCCGCAGAAGAAGCACCGGCUAACUCCGUG
Molecule: ribosomal RNA, 490 nt
Filed under: uncultured bacterium
Lineage: Bacteria
Description: partial 16S ribosomal RNA
Rfam family: Bacterial small subunit ribosomal RNA
Source: RNAcentral